UGCAACUUCCCCUCCAAAUGAAAUGUCAAAAUUGUGCUCUCUCCUUGGAAGUUUUAUUGGGUUGGCUAAACGAACACGAUUUCGUAACAAUUGGAACCAACUUGUACAAAUUUUUUGCAUAGCAAACACUCCUAAUCAAAUUCGGCCGCAGCUGCAGUUCACCAGAGAAUGCUGCAAAUGGAAUGGUUCAUCUUAGCUCUUAACCACAAUACCAGCACAGGUCGGCCAGGAAAACACUAAGGAAAUGACCUAAUAAAUGCAAAAUUAUAAUUUAUUUGUAAAAUAAUUCGGCUUUAUUACAAUACUUACCAAAUUUUACGCAAUUAGAAAUCAAAUGUCAGCGAAUAAGAACAAAACGAACAACGAAAAUUGAAUCAAAUUAGCUUGUUUAGAAUUUUUUUCUAAUAUUUUGGGAAAUGUUCAGUGAAAUUAGCAAUGAAACAACACUGUUUCUCCUAAGGUAGUUCAAGAUGGCGGAUUAGAGCGAGAAGUUGCCAACGUAUAACACCUUUCAUUAUUGCAUCAUGGAGCGCUAUCACCAA
Molecule: long non-coding RNA, 542 nt
Organism: Rhagoletis zephyria (snowberry fruit fly)
Lineage: Eukaryota; Metazoa; Arthropoda; Insecta; Diptera; Tephritidae
Source: RefSeq, a predicted model, not a curated record